RNAcentral lists this ribosomal RNA (445 nucleotides) under uncultured fungus. Its description in RNAcentral is "SSU rRNA". It matches the Rfam family "Eukaryotic small subunit ribosomal RNA", at positions 793 to 1236 of the family's 1831-position model. The record is from RNAcentral. Lineage: Eukaryota; Fungi.
GGGAUCCGAUUUUAGCAUGGAAUAAUAAAAUAGGACGUGUGGUUCUAUUUUGUUGGUUUCUAGGACCGCCGUAAUGAUUAAUAGGGACAGUCGGGGGCAUCAGUAUUCAAUUGUCAGAGGUGAAAUUCUUGGAUUUAUUGAAGACUAACUACUGCGAAAGCAUUUGCCAAGGAUGUUUUCAUUUAUCAGGAACGAAAGUUAGGGGAUCGAAGACGAUCAGAUACCGUCGUAGUCUUAACCAUAAACUAUGCCGACUAGGGAUCGGACGAUGUUAUUUUUUGACUCGUUCGGCACCUUACGAGAAAUCAAAGUGCUUGGGCUCCAGGGGGAGUAUGGUCGCAAGGCUGAAACUUAAAGAAAUUGACGGAAGGGCACCACCAGGGGUGGAGCCUGCGGCUUAAUUUGACUCAACACGGGGAAACUCACCCAGGUCCAGAAAUCUAGA